RNAcentral lists this ribosomal RNA (504 nucleotides) under uncultured bacterium. RNAcentral describes it as "partial 16S ribosomal RNA". It matches the Rfam family "Bacterial small subunit ribosomal RNA", at positions 29 to 523 of the family's 1533-position model. The record is from RNAcentral.
AUUGAACGCUGGCGGCAGGCCUAACACAUGCAAGUCGAGCGGUAACACAGGGAGCUUGCUCCUGGGUGACGAGCGGCGGACGGGAGAGUAAUGUCUGGGAAACUGCCUGAUGGAGGGGGAUAACUACUGGAAACGGUAGCUAAUACCGCAUAACGUCGCAAGACCAAAGAGGGGGAGCUUCGGGCCUCUUGCCAUCAGAUGUGCCCAGAUGGGAUUAGCUUGUAGGUGGGGUAACGGCUCACCUAGGCGACGAUCCCUAGCUGGUCUGAGAGGAGUACCAGACACACUGGAACUGAGACACGGUCCAGACUCCUACGGGAGGCAGCAGUGGGGAAUAGUGCACAAUGGGCGCAAGCCUGAUGCAGCCAUGCAGCGUGUAUGAAGAAGGCCUUAGGGUUGUAAAGUACUUUCAGCGGGGAGGAAGGCGUUGAGGUUAAUAACCUCAGCGAUUGACGUUACCCGCAGAAGAAGCACCGGCUAACUCCGUGCCAGCCGCCGCGGUAA